CUCUCUCUCUCUCUCUCUCUCUCUCUCUCUCUCUACCCAUCACUCCCUUCCUCUCUCUGCUCUCUUGCUUGACGACGUGGUAAGACCGAAAACUGGCCGUUGCGGGCGGCGAUGGUCCCAGGGGACCCUAAAACCCAUCUCUUUGAUUCCAAAAUCCCAAGAACCCGACCCCCUCUCUCCUCCUUGCCAUCUUUCCCUUUCUCCCUCUCUUCCAUUUUCCAGGUGGACUGACAGCCAGACAGUCGUCCACAGUCAUAGGUGGUCCAACAGGACCAUGGGAUCGUGUUCCCUAGGUCUCAAAACUAAAAACUCUGAUUCUUUUGUGCUUUGGUUGGUCAUGAAUCGAAGAUGUGUGAUUAGGUCACCGACGGAUCUGUAGUUAGUUUUAGAGGAUCUACACCAUUGGGUUCGUCAUCAGGGGGUACGAUUAGGUCACCAAGGGCGAUCUUUAGUGGCGGUGGUAGCGGUAGUGAUGGUUGUGGUGGUGUGGUGGUGGUUCUGGAGAAGAUGAAGAAGGACAAGGAAGAUAGGUUAGGGUUUUAGAUAAAAAAAAAAAAGAAAGAGAAAGAAAAAAAAAAGAAAAAAUAUAUAUUUUUUAUUAUUAUUAUUUUAUUUUUUAUAAUUUUUAAAUUAUUUUUUAUAAUAUUUAAAUAACUAAUAUUACGUGGACCACUAAAAAUUUGUAGAUAACUCUAUGAAAAUAGAGUUAUUUAGCUUUUUUUGUCCAUUAAAUUAAUUUUGUUCUCAAGCAUUUUUAGUUUAUUUUAGUGACUUUUUAAUUAUUUUAUUUAAUUUUCCAUAAAUAUUAGUUAUAGUAUUUUUAGAUUAAUUAUAGUUAAUUUUUGUAAUAUUUUAUCAAUUUUAUUUAGUUUCUCAUGUUAAAAGUAUUAUUCUUAAUAUUGUGUAUUUUUAUAGGAGCUUAAAUAUAAUUUGGACUUUAUUA
Molecule: long non-coding RNA, 943 nt
Organism: Cannabis sativa
Lineage: Eukaryota; Viridiplantae; Streptophyta; Magnoliopsida; Rosales; Cannabaceae
Exons: 2
Source: RefSeq, a predicted model, not a curated record